RNAcentral lists this ribosomal RNA (725 nucleotides) under uncultured Pseudomonadota bacterium. RNAcentral describes it as "bacterial SSU rRNA". It matches the Rfam family "Bacterial small subunit ribosomal RNA", at positions 62 to 776 of the family's 1533-position model. Lineage: Bacteria; Pseudomonadati; Pseudomonadota. The record is from RNAcentral.
UCGAACGGUAACAGGAAGAAGCUUGCUUCUUUGCUGACGAGUGGCGGACGGGUGAGUAAUGUCUGGGAAACUGCCUGAUGGAGGGGGAUAACUACUGGAAACGGUAGCUAAUACCGCAUAACGUCGCAAGACCAAAGAGGGGGACCUUCGGGCCUCUUGCCAUCGGAUGUGCCCAGAUGGGAUUAGCUAGUAGGUGGGGUAACGGCUCACCUAGGCGACGAUCCCUAGCUGGUCUGAGAGGAUGACCAGCCACACUGGAACUGAGACACGGUCCAGACUCCUACGGGAGGCAGCAGUGGGGAAUAUUGCACAAUGGGCGCAAGCCUGAUGCAGCCAUGCCGCGUGUAUGAAGAAGGCCUUAGGGUUGUAAAGUACUUUCAGCGGGGAGGAAGGGAGUAAAGUUAAUACCUUUGCUCAUUGACGUUACCCGCAGAAGAAGCACCGGCUAACUCCGUGCCAGCAGCCGCGGUAAUACGGAGGGUGCAAGCGUUAAUCGGAAUUACUGGGCGUAAAGCGCACGCAGGCGGUUUGUUAAGUCAGAUGUGAAAUCCCCGGGCUCAACCUGGGAACUGCAUCUGAUACUGGCAAGCUUGAGUCUCGUAGAGGGGGGUAGAAUUCCAGGUGUAGCGGUGAAAUGCGUAGAGAUCUGGAGGAAUACCGGUGGCGAAGGCGGCCCCCUGGACGAAGACUGACGCUCAGGUGCGAAAGCGUGGGGAGCAAACAGG